GCGCUGGGAUCGAGCCAACAUGGCCACGUGCUAAUCGAAGCCCUCCUCGCUCCCCCGAGUGUCUCAGGACAUACGUGUUUACGUGCAGUGUUCGUGGACACCCCGAGUUUUAAUGUUUUCGUAACAACAACAACGAACGCAUUUUUCUCCUGUUCCGUUCGGCGUAUUCCGUCCAUCGGCUCGUUUCGCAUCGGAGCGUUUUCACCUUGGUCCUAAGAUUGGAAAUAACGGGGAGUGUGUCAGAUAUCGUAAACGUUCGAUGAUUCACGAAUCGAACGGUUUCACGUCCAAAAAAUGCUGUUAUAAAAAAAUCCUGCCAUCUACUUCCACGUAGAUAAAUGUCCACGCGAACACAUCGAUCAAUACAUUUAUACACAUCAUAAGAAGUGCGCGAAUGUUGGGUGCUGGAGCAAAGUGCAAUGAUUACUGUCACUCGCUCGUGAGUUCUCCUCGAUGCACAAAUCGAGCUUCGUUCACGUGACGACUUUGUUGAUCAGUGUUUUUGCUUCUGCGACGAUCGUCAUGUCCUCCCCGGCAACUGUUGCCAAUUGCACGUGUACCUGUCAACAACCAGUCGCCGAUUCGGACGCUUGUGUUAUCAUCAACGAGUCGACGACGAAUUCUCCAUACUCUAAAACUUUGACGAACCGCGAGAAAAAAGAUGCCCGGAACGAGCAGCGUGUUAUAGCGGGUUAUCGACCACAUGGAAAUCUAGCCAGACUUCUCUUGGACAAGCAGAGAGCUGACGAACGUCUGGAGAGCUACGACAAAACACGAUGGUACACUGUCGACAAAACCAAAAUACGGGAUGACAUCCUCAAACUAUGGGUCCCUCUGGGCGCUGGACCACACAACAAUCUACCGGACAAAGUCGCCGAAAAUUUUCUCUCCAAAUCGGCCGAAAGAUCAGACUCUCUGCCGCUUCAGGCUUGGCAUUCGGUCGCUAGAUCUGCACUCUGCUGGUUUGUCAGCCAGACGUCUAUCAAUGGCCUACUCGGCAGAGGCUCCAUGCACGUAUUCUCUGCUGAACAAUUCCAAAAGAUUAUCGAUGCCAGUCGCUUCACUGGUCCCUGGCAUUCCGUCGUCGAUCUUGGAGCUGGCGAUGGCGCUACCACUGCCCAUAUCGCUCAUCUCUUCGACAGAGUUUACGCAACCGACAUAUCCGCCCCGAUGCGAUGGGCGUUAUCAAAACGAAAGUUUACAGUAUUGGACAUCGACAAGUGGCACGAAACGGGCCCCUUCAACAUCGUGUUAUGCCUGAAUCUUCUGGAUCGUUGCGAUCGUCCUGACACACUUUUGCGACAAUUGCGUACGACACUAGCACCAGGUGGUCGUUUGGUGGUUGCACUCGUUCUCCCGUUUAGUCCGUACGUCGAAGUUGGCCAAAGAGGCGAUCACAAACCAUCGGAAUAUCUUCCUAUAAAGGGCAAUGGUCUCGAGGGACAAAUAGCUAGUCUCGUCGAUCGUGUAUUUGCUCCUGUCGGUCUCAAAUGUCUCGCUUGGAGCAAAUUGCCUUAUCUCUGCGAAGGAAAUCUCGGACAGUCAUAUUACUUUUUGGACGAUGUCAUUUUUGUUCUCGAAGCUCAACAGGACGAACCUUACAACAGUACUCGAAGCAGAGACUACGAGCCAAAGAAUGCUUCACCGAAUUCGGGUGGGAUCUGAAGAUAACGGAACGAGGCCCAGGAAUUGGUGUUUUUUAAUAUAUAUAUUUCCGGUCGAUAAAAAACAGCUGGAAACGGGAAUAUGCGGUGGUGGAAGAAAACUUCUCAACGAUUGUACGAGUUGUAUUGUAUCGACCAGGGCUGCGAAAGACAAUAACAAAUCAAAUCUUGAAUCAUUCGGAUUUUCAAGUGUUUCUCAAGCCGCUCUGACCACGCACGGUCUGAAUAACCCCAAUGCUUAUUUUCAGCAAAAAGUUCAAUACUUUCCGAAUGAAUAUUUUUGAGAUUUUUAAUAGUUUUGCCUUUCAAUUACUUCUGAGAGCAGAGCGCGGUGUCAGAUUUCAGUCGUACUAAGUAGUUAGAAGUAUAACUCGAUAACGAGAUGAUUAUUAAUUGUACCUAAUUGAUAAUUGAAUCAAAUUAUAAUAGUAAAUAGAUUCAUCAAUUUUUCAUUUCCAGAGAACAAUACCAAAAGAUACUAAUACCAAAUAUUGGCCACUGAAAUCUUUGCAAUAAUGUCAACAGCUCGAAUAGUAAACCAUCGAUAGUACAAUCAUACAAAAACGAGUCAUAAACACUAAAACAAAAUGAAAAAUAAAACUUCACCUUUAAAAUCAUUCAAAAUAUGUUUUUAACAUGGAGUAUCCAUAUUUUUCUACAAUCAUAAUUCAUACUUAGUUAAUCGGAGAAAAAUCUGAGUUUAUUAUUUUUUCAAAUGGUCUUCGGUCUAAAACACUCAAAUAUUUUCAUACUAUCUUCAAACAUUUUCUAUUCGUUUGUUCCAUUAGUCAAUCGUUAUUCUCAUGCAUACUUCGUAGUAAUCGAUAUUUGUACAUAAAAUAAAAUGUUGAAUUUGAGAAAAAAGUGGAAUUUCGAAUAUACAAUAUUUAAUCAUA
Molecule: unclassified non-coding RNA, 2560 nt
Filed under: Venturia canescens
Lineage: Eukaryota; Metazoa; Arthropoda; Insecta; Hymenoptera; Ichneumonidae
Description: protein-L-histidine N-pros-methyltransferase, transcript variant X1
Source: RNAcentral